GAUGAACGCUAGCGGGAGGCCUAACACAUGCAAGCCGAGCGGUAUUUGUCCUUCGGGACAGAGAGAGCGGCGUACGGGUGCGGAACACGUGUGCAACCUGCCUUUAUCUGGGGGAUAGCCUUUCGAAAGGAAGAUUAAUACCCCAUAAUAUAUCGAAUGGCAUCAUUCGAUAUUGAAAACUCCGGUGGAUAGAGAUGGGCACGCGCAAGAUUAGAUAGUUGGUGAGGUAACGGCUCACCAAGUCAGUGAUCUUUAGGGGGCCUGAGAGGGUGAUCCCCCACACUGGUACUGAGACACGGACCAGACUCCUACGGGAGGCAGCAGUGAGGAAUAUUGGACAAUGGGUGAGAGCCUGAUCCAGCCAUCCCGCGUGAAGGACUAAGGCCCUAUGGGUAGUAAACUUCUUUUAUACUGGGAUAAACCUACUUACGUGUAAGUAGCUGAAGGUACAGUAUGAAUAAGCACCGGCUAACUCCGUG
RNAcentral lists this ribosomal RNA (479 nucleotides) under uncultured bacterium. RNAcentral's name for it is "partial 16S ribosomal RNA". It matches the Rfam family "Bacterial small subunit ribosomal RNA", at positions 28 to 507 of the family's 1533-position model. The record is from RNAcentral.